RNAcentral lists this ribosomal RNA (490 nucleotides) under uncultured bacterium. Its description in RNAcentral is "partial 16S ribosomal RNA". It matches the Rfam family "Bacterial small subunit ribosomal RNA", at positions 30 to 507 of the family's 1533-position model. The record is from RNAcentral.
AUUGAACGCUGGCGGCAGGCCUAACACAUGCAAGUCGAACGGGAACAGGAAGCAGCUUGCUGCUUUGCUGGCGAGUGGCGGACGGGUGGGUAAUGUCUGGGAAACUGCCUGAUGGAGGGGGAUAACUACUGGAAACGGUAGCUAAUACCGCAUAACGUCGCAAGACCAAAGAGGGGGACCUUAGGGCCUCUUUCCAUCGGAUGUGCCCAGAUGGGAUUAGCUAGUAGGUGGGGUAACGGCUCACCUAGGCGACGAUCCCUAGCUGGUCUGAGAGGAUGACUAGCAACACUGGAACUGAGACACGGUCCAGACUCCUACGGGAGGCAGCAGUGGGGACUAUUGCACAAUGGGCGAAAGCCUGAUGCAGCCAUGCCGCGUGUAUGAAGAAGGCCUUCGGGUGGUAAAGUAAUUUCAGCGGGGAGGAAGGGAGUAAAGUUAAUACCUUUGCUCAUUGACGUUACCCGCAGAAGAAGCACCGGCUAACUCCGUG